GAUGAACGCUGGCGGCGUGCUUAACACAUGCAAGUCGAACGGGAUCUGACCAGCUUGCUGGUUGGUGAGAGUGGCGAACGGGUGAGUAAUGCGUGACCAACCUGCCCCAUGCUCCAGAAUAGCUCUUGGAAACGGGUGGUAAUGCUGGAUGCUCCAACUUGACGCAUGUCUUGUUGGGAAAGUGUUUAGUGGCAUGGGAUGGGGUCGCGUCCUAUCAGCUUGUAGGCGGGGUAAUGGCCCACCUAGGCUUCGACGGGUAGCCGGCCUGAGAGGGCGGACGGCCACAUUGGGACUGAGAUACGGCCCAGACUCCUACGGGAGGCAGCAGUGGGGAAUAUUGCGCAAUGGGGGAAACCCUGACGCAGCGACGCCGCGUGCGGGAUGAAGGCCUUCGGGUUGUAAACCGCUUUUGAUUGGGAGCAAGCUUUCGGGUGAGUGUACCUUUCGAAUAAGCGCCGGCUAACUACGUGCCAGCAGCCGCGGUAAUACGUAGGGCGCAAGCGUUAUCCGGAAUUAUUGGGCGUAAAGAGCUUGUAGGCGGUUCGUCGCGUCUGGUGUGAAAGCCCAUCGCUUAACGGUGGGUCUGCGCCGGGUACGGGCGGGCUAGAGUGCAGUAGGGGAGACUGGAAUUCCCGGUGUAACGGUGGAAUGUGUAGAUAUCGGGAAGAACACCAAUGGCGAAGGCAGGUCUCUGGGCUGUUACUGACGCUGAGAAGCGAAAGCGUGGGGAGCGAACAGG
Molecule: ribosomal RNA, 739 nt
Filed under: uncultured Gardnerella sp.
Lineage: Bacteria; Bacillati; Actinomycetota; Actinomycetes; Bifidobacteriales; Bifidobacteriaceae
Description: bacterial SSU rRNA
Rfam family: Bacterial small subunit ribosomal RNA
Source: RNAcentral